RNAcentral lists this ribosomal RNA (443 nucleotides) under uncultured bacterium. Its description in RNAcentral is "partial 16S ribosomal RNA". It matches the Rfam family "Bacterial small subunit ribosomal RNA", at positions 338 to 795 of the family's 1533-position model. The record is from RNAcentral.
CCUACGGGCGGCAGCAGUGGGGAAUAUUGGGCAAUGGGCGCAAGCCUGACCCAGCAACGCCGCGUGAAGGAAGAAGGCUUUCGGGUUGUAAACUUCUUUUCUCAGGGACGAAGCAAGUGACGGUACCUGAGGAAUAAGCCACGGCCAACUACGUGCCAGCAGCCGCGGUAAUACGUAAGUGGCAAGCGUUAUUCGGAUUUACGGGGUAUAAAGGGCGGGGAGGCGGGAAAGCAAUACCGAGUUGAAAACCAUGGGCUCAACCUGUAGCCUGCAGUUGAAACUGUUUUUCUUGAGAACUGGAGAGGUAAACGGAAUUUCUAGUGUAGGAGUGAAAUGCGUAGAUAUUAGGAGGAACACCAAUGGCGUAGGCAGUCUACUGGACCGCAACUGACGCUGAGGCGCGAAAGCGUAGGGAGCAAACGGGAUUAGAUACCCGAGUAGUC